GGGUAAAGUCACAUUGUGAUGUAACCUCUGGCCCUGCACCUUUACAUGACGGGAUCCCAGAGAUGGAAGGUCAUUUGAGGACAAAGUGAGAAAAUGGCUGUCUGCAAGCCAGGAAGAGAGGGCUCACCAAAUGCCAAUCCUGACAGCAACUUGAUCUUGGACUUCUAGCCUCCAGAGAGGUGAGAGCCUGAAGGACCCAAGGAGACGGGUAAAGUGUCAAGGACCCGGAUGAGAUCCGUCUCUUGUUGCUACAUAAACAGAGGCUACACACAAUUCAGAGGCAUGUUUUAAAAAUGAGAGCUCAACUAAAAUUUGUUACCAUAACCACUAAUAUUCAAAUGUUCUCAGCUAUUUCUUAAGCUAAGCUAGGAACUAUCCCUAGAGUUGAGCAGAGUCCCCUAAAAGCUUUUAACUUGGAAAUCACCAUGCUAUGGGAGAAAUAUAUACAACACUGGGAAAGGUUUUGAGGUUCUUGCAGGCACUUCUUUUUCAAUAAGCCACUUUAUUGAGGUGUGAAUGACAUAUAAAGAGCUAUACAUAUUUAACGUAUAUGACUUGAUGAUUUUGGAUAUAAGUAUAUACCAGUGAAACCAUCACCACAAUAUAUGCCAUAAACAUAUCCGUCACCUUCAAAAGUUUCCUCCUGCCUUAUUAUUAUUAAUUUUUGUGAUAAUGACACUUAACAUAAGAUCUACUCUCUUAGCCAAUUCUUAAUAUUGUCAGCACAGCCACUAUGCUGUUCAAUAGAAAAGGACUUUUUCAUCUUGCAUAACUGAAACUUUGUACCCUUUGACCACUUCUCUCCAGCCACUGAACCCUCUAGCUUUGCUCCCGUUUCAAUUUAACCAAGUGCCAGAAGCUUAUUUUGUGUCAUAUUAACAAACAGUAAAUAUUUUAAAUGUUAUCUAGUAAAAAGACUUAACUUGGCUUUUGUAUCUUUUCUGGUCUGCUACAAGUUUCCACCAGUGUCUCCUCUUUCCUUAUUUUGGUCUCACACUUUGUAGCAAAACAGAAGAGGAAGCACUUUAUGCAGAAGACCUUUGGGAACAUUGUAAUUGCAUUUUUCCUAAUCGGUUUUAUUGGGUAUUUCUAGUUUGCUUCCUAUUUCAUGUUCCAUCAUACCUCUAAUUGUUAGAUGUUUAUUA
This is a non-coding RNA of Kogia breviceps (pygmy sperm whale), 1145 nucleotides long. The record is from RefSeq and is a predicted model, not a curated record. NCBI's taxonomy places the organism in Eukaryota, Metazoa, Chordata, Mammalia, Artiodactyla, Physeteridae.